GACACUUGACAUUGCAGCAUACCGUGGGUGGGAAAUAGUCCUUUGGCCAUAAAUGAAAGUACAUGUAAGGAUGUGGAGGCGUAAUUCCACAUUUGGCCUUCGGAACCUCGACAAUGUCUAUAAAUUAAAUCCACCCACAGUAGUCCAUGCCGUAUGCUCUAUUAGCAUCUUUCUAAAACCCACAAAAUGAAAAUGUCUUCCAAGGUCAACACCCUCUGCCUCGUCAUCGUCGCCCUCCUACUCUUCUUCACUCUCACCUCCGCCGCCAGACCUCAUCCACCAUUUCCCUAUGCUUCUCAGACGAAAAAUCUUCACGGGGAAGUUGAAGUGGAAGCUGAGAAGGUUGAGGAGAACUGCGAGGGAGUUGGAGAAGAAGAAUGUUUGAUGAGAAGAACACUUGCAGCUCAUACUGAUUAUAUCUACACUCAGAAGACGACGCCAUGAAAUUAAUCUUCUACCUUCUUAUCAUUAAUUAGUUUCUGCUGCAUGUGUUUUUUAUAUUUAUUUGUUGAUUAAAUAAUCUGGGCAGUUUUGUUGUUUAUAGUUCUCCUUAAUUACUUGUGUAAGAGAAUUAAUUUUGUUUUCUUUGUAAUAUUAUUUAUAGAUUAAAGCAAGUAGGGUUAGAGUUUAUUCCCA
Long non-coding RNA from Mangifera indica (mango), 636 nucleotides. RefSeq lists it as uncharacterized. The transcript is spliced from 2 exons. NCBI's taxonomy places the organism in Eukaryota, Viridiplantae, Streptophyta, Magnoliopsida, Sapindales, Anacardiaceae. The record is from RefSeq and is a predicted model, not a curated record.